This 274-nucleotide ribosomal RNA is filed under the name uncultured bacterium. Its description in RNAcentral is "partial 16S ribosomal RNA". It matches the Rfam family "Bacterial small subunit ribosomal RNA", at positions 523 to 796 of the family's 1533-position model. The record is from RNAcentral.
AUACGGAGGGUGCAAGCGUUACUCGGAAUCACUGGGCGUAAAGGAUGCGUAGGCUGGAUGUCAAGUUGGAAGUGAAAUCCUAUGGCUUAACCAUAGAACUGCUUCCAAAACUGGCAACCUAGAGUGAGGGAGAGGCAGAUGGAAUUAGUGGUGUAGGGGUAAAAUCCGUAGAUAUCACUAGGAAUACCGAUUGCGAAGGCGAUCUGCUAGAACUCUACUGACGCUAAGGCAUGAAAGCGUGGGGAGCAAACAGGAUUAGAAACCCGAGUAGUCC